This 391-nucleotide unclassified non-coding RNA is filed under the name soil metagenome. RNAcentral's name for it is "partial contains 5.8S ribosomal RNA, internal transcribed spacer 2, and large subunit ribosomal RNA". The stretch from base 1 to 122 matches the Rfam family "5.8S ribosomal RNA", at positions 35 to 154 of the family's 154-position model. The record is from RNAcentral.
GAUGAAGAACGCAGCGAAAUGCGAUACUUGGUGUGAAUUGCAGAAUCCCGUGAACCAUCGAGUCUUUGAACGCAAGUUGCGCCCGAAGCCAUUAGGCCGAGGGCACGCCUGCCUGGGCGUCACACGUCGUUGCCCCCCCAUCUACUCCUUCGGGAUUGCGGGGGGCGGAUGAUGGCCUCUCGUGCGCCUCGUCGCGCGGUUGGCCUAAAUGCCAAGUCCUCGGCGACGCACGCCACGACAAUCGGUGGUUGCGAAACCUCGGUUGCCUGUCGUGUGCGGUCGUCGCGCAUCGAGGGCUCGAAAAAAUUGCCGGGCUUCGGCUCGACUUUCAACGCGACCCUAGGUCAGGCGGGGUUACCCGCUGAAUUUAAGCAUAUCAAUAAGCGGAGGA